UGGCGAACGGGUGAGUAGCACGUGGGUAAUCUGCCCUGCACUCUGGGAUAAGCCUGGGAAACUGGGUCUAAUACUGGAUAUGACCUUUCUCCUUAUGGGGUUUGGUGGAAAGUUUUUCGGUGUAGGAUGAGCCCGCGGCCUAUCAGCUUGUUGGUGGGGUGAUGGCCUACCAAGGCGACGACGGGUAGCCGGCCUGAGAGGGUGAUCGGCCACAUUGGGACUGAGAUACGGCCCAG
Molecule: ribosomal RNA, 236 nt
Filed under: uncultured Actinomycetales bacterium
Lineage: Bacteria; Bacillati; Actinomycetota; Actinomycetes; Actinomycetales
Description: partial 16S ribosomal RNA
Rfam family: Bacterial small subunit ribosomal RNA
Source: RNAcentral